RNAcentral lists this long non-coding RNA (694 nucleotides) under Oryctolagus cuniculus (rabbit). Its description in RNAcentral is "lncRNA (ENSOCUG00000037053.1)". Lineage: Eukaryota; Metazoa; Chordata; Mammalia; Lagomorpha; Leporidae. The record is from RNAcentral.
AUGACUGCAUCAACCAUGGCUGGGCCAGACAGAAGCCAGGAGCCUGGGACCCCACGCGGGGCUUCCAGGGGCCCGGCAGGGACCCAAGUCCCCGAGCUAUCUGCCAUUGUUCUCCCCAGGUGCCGGACCAGAAGUGGAGCAGCCAGAACUCCAACUGGCUGCUAUGUGGGAAGUCGGCGUUGCAAGCUGUGGCCUAACCCCUGCACCAUGACGCUGGCCAGCCCCAGCAUGCACUCUGUAGUAAUCUGCUACUGGAUUUCGACAUCUUGCCAAGGCCAGGAGCCUGGAAGCCUGGAGCCUCAGCCCGUCUCUGCAACACCACAGCCUGAGUCUUGUCUGCGAUCUGCGUGGCUCUGGGAGGUGACCCGUGGAGUGCAGCAGCGCAUCCUCAGGACGUGGGUCCAGCUCCGGCUCCGAGGACGGUGCCCGUCUACGCAGGCACACGCGUCACUGCCUAGGACAGAGCCAGAUUGCCUCAAGUUUGCUUAUCGCCUGCUGCUCUCUGCUUUUUAACUUCUGCUCCUAGAAGACGUGAAGAAUUCAGGAGAAUUUACUCAUGGAUCCCAGCAACAUAAUCCUGGGAGAUUACCUUCCUGUUCUGUCAGGAACUCAGACCGUCUGAAGCCUGUGUUUCGAAGGCACGCUUCAUAGCACACCAAAUAAAACAUUCAGCACAAAUUUGGCCCUACUCCGU